Molecule: long non-coding RNA, 1730 nt
Filed under: Ictidomys tridecemlineatus (thirteen-lined ground squirrel)
Lineage: Eukaryota; Metazoa; Chordata; Mammalia; Rodentia; Sciuridae
Description: lncRNA (ENSSTOG00000033387.1)
Source: RNAcentral
GGUCAUGCUGAGGAAGCGGCACUUGAAUUUGCCAAGCUAGAUGACAUCACCUCCCGAUUUAAAUGUGCUACUGUUGGCAAAACUCCACCCCAAGGGGUUAGGCCAAGAGGACAUUAACAGACUGUCCAUGGCAGAAGUAGCCUCAUCAUCACCCGCAACGGUGCGUAAGCUGAGUCAAAGGAGCUGAGCGAGUGGAGAGCAGAGACGGUCGGCAGGGGACAGGGCAGGCAGAUAGGGGACGCGAGGACAAGGAGUACUUAUUUGGCAGAACACAGCAGAGUUGAUGUCAUUUUGAGGAACUUGUUUGCCUGGGGAUUAUGUGAUUAAUGAGCACCGCGGGGCUCACCAGGGCACAGAGCUGAGUUUGGAAUGACGGGGGACUUCAGGACCCGGCUGCAGUCACCACUGCAGUGCCAAGUAAAUCAAUGCCGAAUCUGUAGUAAAUGGACUAAUUAAUACACUUGGAGGGUUCAAAAGCCCUCUCCAGCUCUAGAGAAGUUAUGACCAUGAGAAACGAUUGUCUGAAAGUUGGCUUCAUUUUCUAAACGCCACCUAACUGUAAAUACCACAGUUGUUUUCUUAGUGAAGCAGAAAUCAGAGCGCACCGGCUUCCGCCUGCCUCUGCUGGUGGACUCCCUCCCUGCACCCUCCUGGCCGCAGGUGGCUGGCCUCCCCCUUGCAGCCUCUCCUGCCUGGGCUCCCCUCUCCUGUCCUCCCCCAGCCACUCUCUCAUGCCGACGUCCCAGCACCACUUCUCCAGGCGCGCCAACCCACAGCUCCUUUCUGAGUGGCGGAGCCGGGAGCAGAGCCGAGGGAGAAGGGGGAGCCAGAGCCAGGGGGAGACUUCAGGACAGGUUUUCCAGGAAAGCAGAGCUGACGGACCUCCAGAGAUCCAUGGAAGACUCCAAUCGCAGGAGCCCACUCAGGGACACCCAGGAGCUGUGUUUCUCCAGCUACCGUGGGCGCCAUCAACACCAGCCAAGUUGACACAUGAAAUUAAACAUUCUGCCAUUUUGACCAGCUUCCCAAGACCCAGCCACAAGAGGAGUCUGUGGUUUUGAAUCUUGGAGCUGCUGGGGAUGCAGGGAGCCUUGGACUCUGGGUAGAGGCUGCAGGGCUGGCCCUGGGUCCCUGCUGUGCUCCUAGGACACUGCCCAGAUUGGUGAGGUUGCAGGUCUGCAGAGUCUCCACACACCCCAUGCAGGGUCACCCUCUUCCCUCCACAUCCAAGGUCUGCAGAGCACCAGCCGUGCUGGGGGUGAACUAUGCCGUUCUAAAGAACCCCAAGCCUGCAGCUGACACUGCUCAGGCAGCCUCGGGCUUACCCAGUCCAAAGAGCUGGACGACCCGGAGCAAGGCCUACUGGACCCACCGCCAGCCCGCACUCCCCAACCCGGGCUGCUCAGGCCCACAGAGCGCCCUCAGUAGUCGGGACAGCUGAGGCCUCCCACCGUUCACCUGGGCCCACACAUUCUCGGCUGCUCCCCCAGGCCCAAGCCCUGGGAGGGAGGGGCGCAGGGCCUCCACAGUGAGGAAGAGCCGCUCCCACACCUCACUGCCAACAGCAGCCAGAGCCUGUCCUUUGGCCCAGCACCCUGGCUGGAAGACAGGGGCAGGAAAGCCCCACCCCAGACCUGUCCCCACACCCAUGAGCCCACGCUGCAGUGGGUUCUCAGAGGGGCAGGAGGGCUCUCCUCACAAACCACCCAGCCCACUGCCCCAAUACACAC